AGCUAAGUGGUGCAAUGGAUAGCACACCAGCCUUGAAGUCAGGAGGACCCAAGUUCAAAUCUGGUCUUACUUA
This 73-nucleotide transfer RNA is filed under the name Sarcophilus harrisii (Tasmanian devil). It matches the Rfam family "tRNA". Rfam says of the family: Transfer RNA (tRNA) molecules are approximately 80 nucleotides in length. Their secondary structure includes four short double-helical elements and three loops (D, anti-codon, and T loops). Lineage: Eukaryota; Metazoa; Chordata; Mammalia; Dasyuromorphia; Dasyuridae. The record is from Rfam by way of RNAcentral.